RNAcentral lists this ribosomal RNA (892 nucleotides) under uncultured bacterium. RNAcentral's name for it is "bacterial SSU rRNA". It matches the Rfam family "Bacterial small subunit ribosomal RNA", at positions 8 to 946 of the family's 1533-position model. The record is from RNAcentral.
AGAGUUUGAUCAUGGCUCAGGAUGAACGCUGGCGGCGUGCUUAACACAUGCAAGUCGAACGAACCUUCGGGUUAGUGGCGGACGGGUGAGUAACGCGUGAGAAUCUGCCCUCAGGAGGGGGAUAACGGUUGGAAACGACCGCUAAUACCCCAUAUGCCUAUUGGUGAAAUGAAUUUCGCCUGAGGAUGAGCUCGCGUCUGAUUAGCUUGUUGGUGAGGUAAUGGCUCACCAAGGCUUCGAUCAGUAGCUGGUCUGAGAGGAUGAUCAGCCACACUGGGACUGAGACACGGCCCAGACUCCUACGGGAGGCAGCAGUGGGGAAUUUUCCGCAAUGGGCAAAAGCCUGACGGAGCAACGCCGCGUGAGGGAUGAAGGCCUCUGGGCUGUAAACCUCUUUUCUCAAAGAAGAAGAUAUGACGGUACUUGAGGAAUAAGCCACGGCUAAUUCCGUGCCAGCAGCCGCGGUAAUACGGGAGUGGCAAGCGUUAUCCGGAAUUAUUGGGCGUAAAGCGUCCGCAGGCGGCUUUUCAAGUCUGCUGUUAAAACGUGGAGCUUAACUCCAUCAUGGCAGUGGAAACUGAAAGGCUUGAGUAUGGUAGGGGCAGAGGGAAUUCCCGGUGUAGCGGUGAAAUGCGUAGAUAUCGGGAAGAACACCAGUGGCGAAGGCGCUCUGCUGGGCCAUUACUGACGCUCAUGGACGAAAGCCAGGGGAGCGAAAGGGAUUAGAUACCCCUGUAGUCCUGGCCGUAAACGAUGAACACUAGGUGUCGGGGGAAUCGACCCCUUCGGUGUCGUAGCUAACGCGUUAAGUGUUCCGCCUGGGGAGUACGCACGCAAGUGUGAAACUCAAAGGAAUUGACGGGGGCCCGCACAAGCGGUGGAGUAUGUGGUU